RNAcentral lists this ribosomal RNA (460 nucleotides) under uncultured bacterium. Its description in RNAcentral is "bacterial SSU rRNA". It matches the Rfam family "Bacterial small subunit ribosomal RNA", at positions 29 to 507 of the family's 1533-position model. The record is from RNAcentral.
AGUGAACGCUGGCGGCGUGCUUAACACAUGCAAGUCGAACGGAUUAAAGAAGCUUGCUUUUUAGUUAGUGGCGCACGGGUGAGUAAUAUAUAGCUAACCUGCCCUUUAGUGGGGGACAACAGUUGGAAACGACUGCUAAUACCCCAUACUCCUUCUUGCCAAAAGGUGAGUCGGGAAAGAUUUAUCGCUAAAGGAGUGGGGCUUUAUUGUAUCAGCUAGUUGGUGGGGUAAUGGCCUACCAAGGCUUUGACGCAUACCUGGUCUGAGAGGAUGAUCAGGCACACUGGAACUGAGACACGGUCCAGACUCCUACGGGAGGCAGCAGUGGGGAAUAUUGCACAAUGGAGGAAACUCUGAUGCAGCAACGCCGCGUGGAGGAUGACGCAUUUCGGUGUGUAAACUCCUUUUAUAGGGGAAGAUAAUGACGGUACCCUAUGAAUAAGCACCGGCUAACUCCGUG